RNAcentral lists this ribosomal RNA (506 nucleotides) under uncultured bacterium. Its description in RNAcentral is "partial 16S ribosomal RNA". It matches the Rfam family "Bacterial small subunit ribosomal RNA", at positions 29 to 523 of the family's 1533-position model. The record is from RNAcentral.
AGUGAACGCUGGCGGUAGGCCUAACACAUGCAAGUCGAACGGCAGCACAGAGGAGCUUGCUCCUUGGGUGGCGAGUGGCGGACGGGUGAGGAAUACAUCGGAAUCUACUCUGUCGUGGGGGAUAACGUAGGGAAACUUACGCUAAUACCGCAUACGACCUACGGGUGAAAGCAGGGGACCUUCGGGCCUUGCGCGAUUGAAUGAGCCGAUGUCGGAUUAGCUAGUUGGCGGGGUAAAGGCCCACCAAGGCGACGAUCCGUAGCUGGUCUGAGAGGAUGAUCAGCCACACUGGAACUGAGACACGGUCCAGACUCCUACGGGAGGCAGCAGUGGGGAAUAUUGGACAAUGGGCGCAAGCCCGAUCCAGCCAUACCGCGUGGGUGAAGAAGGCCUUCGGGUUGUAAAGCCCUUUUGUUGGGAAAGAAAUCCAGCUGGCUAAUACCCGGUUGGGAUGGCGGUACCCAAAGAAUAAGCACCGGCUAACUUCGUGCCAGCCGCCGCGGUAA